Molecule: ribosomal RNA, 504 nt
Filed under: uncultured bacterium
Lineage: Bacteria
Description: bacterial SSU rRNA
Rfam family: Bacterial small subunit ribosomal RNA
Source: RNAcentral
CUGGCUCAGGAUGAACGCUAGCGGCAGGCCUAAUACAUGCAAGUCGAACGGGAUGGGGGUCCUUCGGGACCCCUGAGAGUGGCGCACGGGUGCGCAACGCGUAUGCAACAACCCCCGACAGGCGGAUAGCCGGUGGAAACGCCGGAUAAUACGCCAUGGUUCCCUGACAGGGCAUCCUGUCAUGGAUAAAGCUACGGCGGUCGGGGACGGGCAUGCGUCCCAUUAGAUGGUAGGCGGGGUGACGGCCCACCUAGUCUACGAUGGGUAGGGGAUCUGAGAGGACGGUCCCCCACACUGGUACUGAGACACGGACCAGACUCCUGCGGGAGGCAGCAGUAAGGGAUAUUGGUCAAUGGUCGGAAGACUGAACCAGCCAUUGCCGCGUGAGGGAAUGAGGCCCUACGGGUCGUGAACCUCUUUUAUUCGGGGACAAGGACGCGGUCGCGAACCGUGUUUGAGGGUACCGAAGGAAUAAGCAUCGGCUAACUCCGUGCCAGCAGCCGC